GCCUGGGUGGCUCAGUCGGUUGAGUGUCUGACUUCAGCUCAGGUCAUGAUCUCGCAGUCUGUGAGUUCGAGCCCCGCAUUGGGCU
This 85-nucleotide transfer RNA is filed under the name Felis catus (domestic cat). It matches the Rfam family "tRNA". From Rfam's summary of the family: Transfer RNA (tRNA) molecules are approximately 80 nucleotides in length. Their secondary structure includes four short double-helical elements and three loops (D, anti-codon, and T loops). The record is from Rfam by way of RNAcentral. Lineage: Eukaryota; Metazoa; Chordata; Mammalia; Carnivora; Felidae.